Molecule: unclassified non-coding RNA, 203 nt
Filed under: Hevea brasiliensis (rubber tree)
Lineage: Eukaryota; Viridiplantae; Streptophyta; Magnoliopsida; Malpighiales; Euphorbiaceae
Source: RNAcentral
UCUUCCAAAACCUUCCCGCACCUGUUUUUGAGUCAUAAAUUUUUUUCUUGGAUUUACCAAAAUCAUUGUUUUUGUGACAACUCAUCCCCUGCCUAUGAAAUCCAAAGUCUUGAUACAGUGUAAUAAUUCGUUGUAAGGGGGAUCUAUGAUUUUGUGAACAUGCUGAGGGAACUGAAAAACAGGUGCGGGAAGGUUUUGGAAGA